Molecule: long non-coding RNA, 245 nt
Filed under: Carica papaya (papaya)
Lineage: Eukaryota; Viridiplantae; Streptophyta; Magnoliopsida; Brassicales; Caricaceae
Description: long non-coding RNA (CPAP_LNC008624)
Source: RNAcentral
UACCGAUAUAAAAUACAUAUAGAAGAUAACUAACUUUCUACGAUACUUCCUUUUUGCAUCAAUCAAAAGGACUAAGUAUUGAAGAACAAUUACAAUAUGAGAAGAGAAUAAACGUAUAGAGUUGAUUAUUUUGUACAGUUUGUGAAAAAUGUAAAUGUGACGUUUCGAUGCCCGAGAGCAACAACAUCAAAUGUAUCUAUUAAAUAAUUUUUUUUAAAUAUACUACCGCAGAACAUUCCAUCCCU